GAUGAACGCUGGCGGUAUGCUUAACACAUGCAAGUCGAACGGACUCUUCUGAGUUAGUGGCGGACGGGUGAGUAACGCGUGAGAAUCUGGCUUUGGGUUCGGGACAACCACUGGAAACGGUGGCUAAUACCGGAUGUGCCGAGAGGUAAAAGAGAAAUUGCCUGAAGAUGAGCUCGCGUCUGAUUAGCUAGUUGGUGAGGUAAAGGCUCACCAAGGCAGCGAUCAGUAGCUGGUCUGAGAGGAUGACCAGCCACACUGGGACUGAGACACGGCCCAGACUCCUACGGGAGGCAGCAGUGGGGAAUGUUCCGCAAUGGGCGAAAGCCUGACGGAGCAAUACCGCGUGAGGGAAGAAGGCUCUUGGGUUGUAAACCUCUUUUCUUAGGGAAGAACAAAAUGACGGUACCUAAGGAAUCAGCAUCGGCUAACUCCGUG
RNAcentral lists this ribosomal RNA (435 nucleotides) under uncultured bacterium. RNAcentral's name for it is "partial 16S ribosomal RNA". It matches the Rfam family "Bacterial small subunit ribosomal RNA", at positions 28 to 507 of the family's 1533-position model. The record is from RNAcentral.